This 101-nucleotide small nuclear RNA is filed under the name Chinchilla lanigera (long-tailed chinchilla). Lineage: Eukaryota; Metazoa; Chordata; Mammalia; Rodentia; Chinchillidae. The record is from RNAcentral.
GUGCUCGCUUCGGCAGCAAAUAUACUAAAAUUGGAACUAUACAAAGAAGAUUAACAUGGCCCCUGUGUGAAAGUAAGUCACAAGAAAUGGACUUUUCCAUU